RNAcentral lists this ribosomal RNA (308 nucleotides) under uncultured Planctomycetota bacterium. RNAcentral's name for it is "bacterial SSU rRNA". It matches the Rfam family "Bacterial small subunit ribosomal RNA", at positions 29 to 351 of the family's 1533-position model. The record is from RNAcentral. Lineage: Bacteria; Pseudomonadati; Planctomycetota.
AAUGAACGUUGGCGGCGUGGAUUAGGCAUGCAAGUCGUGCGGAAAGGCUCCUUCGGGAGUACUCGAGCGGCGUAAGGGAGAGUAACGCGUGGAUAUCUACCCCCGGGAUUGGGAUAGCGGCGGGAAACUGCCGGUAAUACCAGAUAACGUCUCCGGACCAAAGGUGUGACUCCGCCUGGGGAUGAGUCCGCGUCCUACUAGCCAGUUGGUGGGGUAAUGGCCUACCAAAGCUGAGAUGGGUACCGGGUGUGAGAGCAUGGCCCGGCUCACUGGGACUGAGACACUGCCCAGACACCUACGGGAGGCUG